GCGCCCGUAGCUCAGCGGAUAGAGCAAGUGAAUUCUAAUCACUUGGUCGGGGGUUCGAUUCCCUCCGGGCGCACUA
This 76-nucleotide transfer RNA is filed under the name Candidatus Daviesbacteria bacterium RIFCSPLOWO2_02_FULL_36_7. RNAcentral describes it as "tRNA-Arg". It matches the Rfam family "tRNA". Rfam says of the family: Transfer RNA (tRNA) molecules are approximately 80 nucleotides in length. The record is from RNAcentral. Lineage: Bacteria; Candidatus Daviesiibacteriota.